AUGCUUAUCUGGUGGGGAAGAUACUGUGAUCACGCAGGUGAUCUUUCCAGGGCAACGUUCAUCCACUGCACUUGGGCUAUACUGACCCAUGCGAUUUCCCUGAAUGUGGGAAGCUCGACUGCAUACUUGGUGGUAGUGGGGGACUGUGUUCGCACUCUCCCCUA
This is a small nuclear RNA of Ochotona princeps (American pika), 164 nucleotides long. Its record names the gene U1. It matches the Rfam family "U1 spliceosomal RNA". Rfam says of the family: U1 is a small nuclear RNA (snRNA) component of the spliceosome (involved in pre-mRNA splicing). Its 5' end forms complementary base pairs with the 5' splice junction, thus defining the 5' donor site of an intron. There are significant differences in sequence and secondary structure between metazoan and yeast U1 snRNAs, the latter being much longer (568 nucleotides as compared to 164 nucleotides in human). The record is from Ensembl. Lineage: Eukaryota; Metazoa; Chordata; Mammalia; Lagomorpha; Ochotonidae.